CAAUCCCUGCGUGGUGCGUGAUGGGCUUUCUAUAAACCCACAUUUCGUUAUACGGGAUGCCGGAUCAGUGAUCUGUUUUGCAGACCUCCCGCCUGUUUUCUGCGGGCGGAAGCUGGGAGCAGUGAAGAAAGCUGUAGGCAACCCACCUGGACCUUUGGUGCAGGUUUAUAACGGGUCCACACGGCCAUGCGGGGAUUCU
This 199-nucleotide non-coding RNA is filed under the name Clostridiales bacterium. Its description in RNAcentral is "6S RNA". It matches the Rfam family "6S / SsrS RNA". From Rfam's summary of the family: E. coli 6S RNA was the first non coding RNA to be sequenced, but its function was unknown until recently. It consists of 184 nucleotides that fold into an extended hairpin structure with a large single-stranded internal bulge. The 6S RNA specifically associates with RNA polymerase holoenzyme containing the sigma70 specificity factor. Lineage: Bacteria; Bacillati; Bacillota; Clostridia; Eubacteriales. The record is from RNAcentral. RNAcentral also lists the same sequence under 3 other names.